RNAcentral lists this ribosomal RNA (1512 nucleotides) under Ruminococcus bicirculans (ex Wegman et al. 2014). RNAcentral describes it as "bacterial SSU rRNA". It matches the Rfam family "Bacterial small subunit ribosomal RNA". Lineage: Bacteria; Bacillati; Bacillota; Clostridia; Eubacteriales; Oscillospiraceae. The record is from RNAcentral.
UUAAUUAAGAGUUUGAUCCUGGCUCAGGACGAACGCUGGCGGCACGCUUAACACAUGCAAGUCGAACGAGAGAAGAGAAGCUUGCUUUUCUGAUCUAGUGGCGGACGGGUGAGUAACACGUGAGCAAUCUGCCUUUCAGAGGGGGAUACCGAUUGGAAACGAUCGUUAAUACCGCAUAACAUAAUUGAACCGCAUGAUUUGAUUAUCAAAGAUUUAUCGCUGAAAGAUGAGCUCGCGUCUGAUUAGCUAGUUGGUAAGGUAACGGCUUACCAAGGCGACGAUCAGUAGCCGGACUGAGAGGUUGAUCGGCCACAUUGGGACUGAGACACGGCCCAGACUCCUACGGGAGGCAGCAGUGGGGAAUAUUGCACAAUGGAGGAAACUCUGAUGCAGCGAUGCCGCGUGAGGGAAGAAGGUUUUAGGAUUGUAAACCUCUGUCUUCAGGGACGAAAAAAGACGGUACCUGAGGAGGAAGCUCCGGCUAACUACGUGCCAGCAGCCGCGGUAAUACGUAGGGAGCGAGCGUUGUCCGGAAUUACUGGGUGUAAAGGGAGCGUAGGCGGGAUCGCAAGUCAGAUGUGAAAACUAUGGGCUUAACCCAUAAACUGCAUUUGAAACUGUGGUUCUUGAGUGAAGUAGAGGUAAGCGGAAUUCCUAGUGUAGCGGUGAAAUGCGUAGAUAUUAGGAGGAACAUCAGUGGCGAAGGCGGCUUACUGGGCUUUAACUGACGCUGAGGCUCGAAAGCGUGGGGAGCAAACAGGAUUAGAUACCCUGGUAGUCCACGCCGUAAACGAUGAUUACUAGGUGUGGGGGGACUGACCCCUUCCGUGCCGCAGCAAACGCAAUAAGUAAUCCACCUGGGGAGUACGACCGCAAGGUUGAAACUCAAAGGAAUUGACGGGGGCCCGCACAAGCAGUGGAGUAUGUGGAUUAAUUCGAAGCAACGCGAAGAACCUUACCAGGUCUUGACAUCGUAUGCAUAGCUCAGAGAUGAGUGAAAUCUCUUCGGAGACAUAUAGACAGGUGGUGCAUGGUUGUCGUCAGCUCGUGUCGUGAGAUGUUGGGUUAAGUCCCGCAACGAGCGCAACCCUUACUGUUAGUUGCUACGCAAGAGCACUCUAGCAGGACUGCCGUUGACAAAACGGAGGAAGGUGGGGAUGACGUCAAAUCAUCAUGCCCCUUAUGACCUGGGCCUCACACGUACUACAAUGGCUGUCAACAGAGGGAUGCAAAGCCGCGAGGUGGAGCGAACCCCUAAAAGCAGUCUUAGUUCGGAUUGUAGGCUGCAACCCGCCUACAUGAAGUCGGAAUUGCUAGUAAUCGCAGAUCAGCAUGCUGCGGUGAAUACGUUCCCGGGCCUUGUACACACCGCCCGUCACGCCAUGGGAGUCGGUAACACCCGAAGCCUGUAGUCUAACCGCAAGGAGGACGCAGUCGAAGGUGGGAUUGAUGACUGGGGUGAAGUCGUAACAAGGUAGCCGUAUCGGAAGGUGCGGCUGGAUCACCUCCUUU